GACGAACGCUGGCGGCGUGCCUAAUACAUGCAAGUAGAACGCAGUUGCGAACGGGUGAGUGACACGUAGGUAACUGCCUCAUAGGGGGGGAUAAAUAUUGGAAACGAUAGCUAAUACCGCAUACUGUGGGCUGGACCUGCUUUGUAUUAGCUAGUUGGAGAGGUAAAGGCUAACCAAGGCGACGAUACAAAGCCUACCUUAGAGGGUGAUCGGCCACCAUGGGACGGAGACACCGCCCAGACUCCUACGGGAGGCAGCAGUAGGGAAUCUUCGGACAUGGACGGAAGUCUGACCGAGCAACGCCGCGUUAGUGAAGAAGGUUUUCGGAUUGUAAAGCUCUGUUGUUAGAGAAGCGGUACCUACCCAGAAAGGGACGGCUAACUACGUGCCAGCAGCCGCGGUAAUUC
Molecule: ribosomal RNA, 407 nt
Filed under: uncultured bacterium
Lineage: Bacteria
Description: partial 16S ribosomal RNA
Rfam family: Bacterial small subunit ribosomal RNA
Source: RNAcentral